This 468-nucleotide ribosomal RNA is filed under the name uncultured bacterium. RNAcentral's name for it is "partial 16S ribosomal RNA". It matches the Rfam family "Bacterial small subunit ribosomal RNA", at positions 28 to 507 of the family's 1533-position model. The record is from RNAcentral.
GACGAACGCUGGCGGCGUGCUUAACGCAUGCAAGUCGAACGGAAAGGCCCUGCUUUUGUGGGGUGCUCGAGUGGCGAACGGGUGAGUAACACGUGAGUAACCUGCCCUUGACUUUGGGAUAACUUCAGGAAACUGGGGCUAAUACCGGAUAGGAGCUCCUGCUGCAUGGUGGGGGUUGGAAAGUUUCGGCGGUUGGGGAUGGACUCGCGGCUUAUCAGCUUGUUGGUGGGGUAGUGGCUUACCAAGGCUUUGACGGGUAGCCGGCCUGAGAGGGUGACCGGCCACAUUGGGACUGAGAUACGGCCCAGACUCCUACGGGAGGCAGCAGUGGGGAAUAUUGCCCAAUGGGCGGAAGCCGGAUGCGGCAACGCCGCGUGCGUGAUGACGGCCUUCGGGUUGUAAACCGCUUUCGCCUGUGACGAAGCGUGAGUGACGGUAAUGGGUAAAGAAGCACCGGCUAACUACGUG